ACCAGGGAUAUCUCUGUUGGUAGAGUAUGAGCCCCCUAAUCUCAGGGCCGUGGGUUUGAGCCCCACCUCGGGCA
Non-coding RNA from Podarcis lilfordi (Lilford's wall lizard), 74 nucleotides. NCBI's taxonomy places the organism in Eukaryota, Metazoa, Chordata, Lepidosauria, Squamata, Lacertidae. The record is from the annotation of a GenBank genome assembly.